This 373-nucleotide ribosomal RNA is filed under the name Euscorpiops neradi. RNAcentral's name for it is "partial large subunit ribosomal RNA". Lineage: Eukaryota; Metazoa; Arthropoda; Arachnida; Scorpiones; Euscorpiidae. The record is from RNAcentral.
AAUCAUUAGUCUUUUAAUUUGAGACUGGAAUGAAUGGUUUAACUAAUUAAGUUUGUCUCAUUUCAAUAUUUUGAAUUUUAUAUUUUAGUAAAAAAGCUAAAAUUAUUUUUAAAGACGAGAAGACCCUAUCAAGCUUUAUAAUAAAAUUUUUAUAUUCAAAAUAAAAGUUAAAUUAUUUUACUGGGGCAGUAAAUAGAAAAUUUCUACUUUAUUAUUAUGAUUUAUAAAUCUUACCAAACCUAAAAAUUUUUAAAUAAAAAUAAGUUACUGUAGGGAUAACAGCAUAAUUUUUUUAUAGAGUUCUUAUCGUCAAAAAAGUUUGUGACCUCGAUGUUGGAUUAAGAAGCCUAAUUUACGCAAUAGUAAAAUAAGG